GGAAUUGCUGCGGGAGCAGGGCCGGGAGCUGCGGGAGGAGCAGGAGGAGCUGGAGCUGCUGAUGAACGGAAUCUUCAAAGGGAUCUUCGUGCACCGCUACCGGGAUGUGGACCCCGAGAUCCGGGGCAUGUGCCUGCAGGAGCUCGGGCUCUGGGUGCAGAAGUUCCCGGGCUCGUUCCUGAGCGACGGCCACCUCAAAUACCUGGGCUGGAGCCUGCACGACAAG
Molecule: non-coding RNA, 226 nt
Organism: Cyanistes caeruleus (blue tit)
Lineage: Eukaryota; Metazoa; Chordata; Aves; Passeriformes; Paridae
Source: RefSeq, a predicted model, not a curated record